RNAcentral lists this ribosomal RNA (481 nucleotides) under uncultured bacterium. RNAcentral's name for it is "partial 16S ribosomal RNA". It matches the Rfam family "Bacterial small subunit ribosomal RNA", at positions 28 to 523 of the family's 1533-position model. The record is from RNAcentral.
GACGAACGCUGGCGGCGUGCUUAACACAUGCAAGUCGAGCGGUAAGGCCCUUUCGGGGGUACACGAGCGGCGAACGGGUGAGUAACACGUGAGUAAUCUGCCCAUCACUUGGGGAUAACUACCGGAAACGGUGGCUAAUACCGAAUAUGACCACUUCCUGCAUGGGAUGGUGGUGGAAAGUUCCGGCGGUGAUGGAUGAGCUCGCGGCCUAUCAGCUUGUUGGUGGGGUAAUGGCCUACCAAGGCUUCGACGGGUAGCCGGCCUGAGAGGGUGACCGGCCACAAUGGGAAUGAGACACGGACCAGACUCCUACGGGAGGCAGCAGUGGGGAAUAUUGGACAAUGGGCGAAAGCCUGAUCCAGCAACGCCGCGUGGGGGAUGACGGCCUUCGGGUUGUAAACCUCUUUCAGUGGGGACGAAGCGCAAGUGACGGUACCCACAGAAGAAGCACCGGCCAACUACGUGCCAGCCGCCGCGGUAA